CCUACGGGAGGCAGCAGUGGGGAAUCUUAGACAAUGGGCGCAAGCCUGAUCUAGCCAUGCCGCGUGAGUGAUGAAGGCCCUAGGGUCGUAAAGCUCUUUCAACUGUGAAGAUAAUGACGGUAGCAGUAGAAGAAACCCCGGCUAACUCCGUGCCAGCAGCCGCGGUAAUACGGAGGGGGUUAGCGUUGUUCGGAAUUACUGGGCGUAAAGCGUACGUAGGCGGAUUAAUAAGUUAGAGGUGAAAUCCCAGGGCUCAACCCUGGAACUGCCUUUAAAACUGUUAGUCUUGAGUUCGAGAGAGGUGAGUGGAAUUCCAAGUGUAGAGGUGAAAUUCGUAGAUAUUUGGAGGAACACCAGUGGCGAAGGCGGCUCACUGGCUCGAUACUGACGCUGAGGUACGAAAGUGUGGGGAGCAAACAGGAUUAGAUACCCUGGUAGA
RNAcentral lists this ribosomal RNA (439 nucleotides) under uncultured bacterium. Its description in RNAcentral is "bacterial SSU rRNA". It matches the Rfam family "Bacterial small subunit ribosomal RNA", at positions 338 to 794 of the family's 1533-position model. The record is from RNAcentral.